This 376-nucleotide ribosomal RNA is filed under the name uncultured bacterium. RNAcentral's name for it is "bacterial SSU rRNA". It matches the Rfam family "Bacterial small subunit ribosomal RNA", at positions 32 to 417 of the family's 1533-position model. The record is from RNAcentral.
AAUCAACGCUGGCGGCGUGCCUAACACAUGCAAGUCGCACGAGAAAGGGGAGCAAUCCCUGAGUAAAGUGGCGCACGGGUGAGUAACACGUGAAUCAUCUACCUCCGAGUGGGGAAUAACUGAGAGAAAUCUUAGCUAAUACCGCAUAACACUUACGAGUCAAAGCAGCAAUGCGCUUGGAGAGGAGUUCGCGGCCGAUUAGUUAGUUGGCGGGGUAANGGCCCACCAAGACGAUGAUCGGUAUCCGGCCUGAGAGGGCGCACGGACACACUGGAACUGAAACACGGUCCAGACUCCUACGGGAGGCAGCAGUGGGGAAUUUUGUCGCAAUGGGGGAAACCCUGACGCAGCAACGCCGCGUGGAGGAUGAAGUAUC